GUGAACGCUGGCGGUAGGCCUAACACAUGCAAGUCGAACGGCAGCACAGUAAGAGCUUGCUCUUACGGGUGGCGAGUGGCGGACGGGUGCGGAAUACAUCGGAAUCUACUUUUUCGUGGGGGAUAACGUAGGGAAACUUACGCUAAUACCGCAUACGACCUACGGGUGAAAGCAGGGGAUCUUCGGACCUCGCGCGAUUGAAUGAGCCGAUGUCGGAUUAGCUAGUUGGCGGGGUAAAGGCCCACCAAGGCGACGAUCCGUAGCUGGUCUGAGGGGAUGAUCAGCCACACUGGAACUGAGACACGGUCCAGACUCCUACGGGAGGCAGCAGUGGGGAAUAUUGGACAAUGGGCGCAAGCCUGAUCCAGCCAUACCGCGUGGGUGAAGAAGGCCUUCGGGUUGUAAAGCCCUUUUGUUGGGAAAGAAAAGCAGCAGGUUAAUACCCCGCUGUUCUGACGGUACCCAAAGAAUAAGCACCGGCUAACUUCGUG
Molecule: ribosomal RNA, 491 nt
Filed under: uncultured bacterium
Lineage: Bacteria
Description: partial 16S ribosomal RNA
Rfam family: Bacterial small subunit ribosomal RNA
Source: RNAcentral